ACGAAGGGUGCAAGCGUUAAUCGGAAUUACUGGGCGUAAAGGGUGCGUAGGCGGUUCGUUAAGUCUGUUGUGAAAUCCCCGGGCUCAACCUGGGAAUGGCAAUGGAUACUGGCGAGCUAGAGUGUGUCAGAGGAUGGUGGAAUUCCCGGUGUAGCGGUGAAAUGCGUAGAGAUCGGGAGGAACAUCCGUGGCGAAGGCAAUCCCCUGGGCCUGCACUGACGCUCAUGCACGAAAGCGUGGGGAGCAAACAGGA
Molecule: ribosomal RNA, 253 nt
Filed under: uncultured prokaryote
Description: partial 16S ribosomal RNA
Rfam family: Bacterial small subunit ribosomal RNA
Source: RNAcentral